AACGAACGCUGGCGGCGUGGUUGAUACAUGCAAGUCGAACGGGAAACGGGGCUUCGGCUCCGGAGUACAGUGGCGGACGGGUGAGUAACGUAUGAUCAAUCUGCCCGAAAGACCAGGAUAGCCAUCCGAAAGGAUGGGUAAUACUGGAUAAGCCCACGGCGAGGCAUCUCGCUGGGGGAAAAGGAUUGGGAUCUUCGGACCUUUCGCUUUCGGAUGAGAUCAUAACCUAUCAGUUUGUUGGCGGGGUAACGGCCCACCAAGACGACGACGGGUAGCCGGCCUGAGAGGGUGGACGGCCACACUGGAACUGAGACACGGUCCAGACUCCUACGGGAGGCAGCAGUGCUGAAUUAUUCGCCAAUGCGCGAAAGCGUGACGGUGCGACGCCGCGUGAGGGACGAAGGCCUUCGGGUUGUAAACCUCUGUCAGGGAUUAGAAAACCUAUGUGGUUAAUAGCCAUGUAGUUGAUCAGUCCCAAAGGAAGCACAGGCUAAUCUCGUGCCAGCAGCCGCCGUAACAC
Molecule: ribosomal RNA, 520 nt
Filed under: uncultured bacterium
Lineage: Bacteria
Description: bacterial SSU rRNA
Rfam family: Bacterial small subunit ribosomal RNA
Source: RNAcentral